RNAcentral lists this ribosomal RNA (610 nucleotides) under uncultured bacterium. RNAcentral's name for it is "bacterial SSU rRNA". It matches the Rfam family "Bacterial small subunit ribosomal RNA", at positions 338 to 951 of the family's 1533-position model. The record is from RNAcentral.
CCUACGGGAGGCAGCAGUGAGGAAUAUUGGACAAUGGGCGCAAGCCUGAUCCAGCCAUGCCGCGUGCAGGAAGACGGUCCUAUGGAUUGUAAACUGCUUUUAUACAGGAAGAAACACCUCUACGUGUAGAGACUUGACGGUACUGUAUGAAUAAGCAUCGGCUAACUCCGUGCCAGCAGCCGCGGUAAUACGGAGGAUGCAAGCGUUAUCCGGAAUCAUUGGGUUUAAAGGGUCCGUAGGCGGUUUAAUAAGUCAGUGGUGAAAGCCCAUCGCUCAACGAUGGAACGGCCAUUGAUACUGUUAAACUUGAAUUAUUAGGAAGUAACUAGAAUAUGUAGUGUAGCGGUGAAAUGCUUAGAGAUUACAUGGAAUACCAAUUGCGAAGGCAGGUUACUACUAAUAUAUUGACGCUGAUGGACGAAAGCGUGGGGAGCGAACAGGAUUAGAUACCCUGGUAGUCCACGCCGUAAACGAUGGAUACUAGCUGUUCGGAGCAAUCUGAGUGGCUAAGCGAAAGUGAUAAGUAUCCCACCUGGGGAGUACGUUCGCAAGAAUGAAACUCAAAGGAAUUGACGGCNGAGAGNGCGACGGACGACGACGAGGGAGGAGG